Molecule: small nuclear RNA, 107 nt
Filed under: Cebus imitator (Panamanian white-faced capuchin)
Lineage: Eukaryota; Metazoa; Chordata; Mammalia; Primates; Cebidae
Source: RNAcentral
GUGCUCGCUUUGGCAGCGCAUAUACUAAAAUUGGAACGAUACAGAGAAGAUUAGCAUGACCCCUGCUCAAGGAUGACACGCAAAUUCGUGAAGCAUUUCAUAUUUAA